Molecule: ribosomal RNA, 253 nt
Filed under: uncultured bacterium
Lineage: Bacteria
Description: partial 16S ribosomal RNA
Rfam family: Bacterial small subunit ribosomal RNA
Source: RNAcentral
UACGUAGGGUGCAAGCGUUGUCCGGAAUUAUUGGGCGUAAAGAGCUCGUAGGCGGUUUGUCGCGUCUGCUGGGAAAACUCGGGGCUUAACUCCGGGCCUGCAGUGGGUACGGGCAGACUAGAGUGCGGUAGGGGAGACUGGAAUUCCUGGUGUAGCGGUGAAAUGCGCAGAUAUCAGGAGGAACACCGGUGGCGAAGGCGGGUCUCUGGACAGUUCCUGACGCUGAGGCACGAAGGCCAGGGGAGCAAACGGG